This 253-nucleotide ribosomal RNA is filed under the name uncultured bacterium. RNAcentral describes it as "partial 16S ribosomal RNA". It matches the Rfam family "Bacterial small subunit ribosomal RNA", at positions 524 to 776 of the family's 1533-position model. The record is from RNAcentral.
UACAGGGGGUGCAAACGUUGCUCGGAAUCACUGGGCGUAAAGCGCACGUAGGCGGAUCGUUAAGUCAGGGGUGAAAUCCUGGAGCUCAACUCCAGAACUGCCUUUGAUACUGGCGAUCUUGAGUUCGGGAGAGGUGAGUGGAACUGCGAGUGUAGAGGUGAAAUUCGUAGAUAUUCGCAAGAACACCAGUGGCGAAGGCGGCUCACUGGCCCGAUACUGACGCUGAGGCACGAAAGCGUGGGGAGCAAACAGG